RNAcentral lists this ribosomal RNA (492 nucleotides) under uncultured bacterium. RNAcentral describes it as "partial 16S ribosomal RNA". It matches the Rfam family "Bacterial small subunit ribosomal RNA", at positions 29 to 507 of the family's 1533-position model. The record is from RNAcentral.
AGUGAACGCUGGCGGUAGGCCUAACACAUGCAAGUCGAACGGCAGCACAGUAAGAGCUUGCUCUUACGGGUGGCGAGUGGCGGACGGGUGAGGCAUACAUCGGAAUCUACUUUUUCGUGGGGGAUAACGUAGGGAAACUUACGCUAAUACCGCAUACGACCUACGGGUGAAAGCAGGGGAUCUUCGGACCUUGCGCGACUGAAUGAGCCGAUGUCGGAUUAGCUAGUUGGCGGGGUAAAGGCCCACCAAGGCGACGAUCCGUAGCUGGUCUGAGAGGAUGAUCAGCCACACUGGAACUGAGACACGGUCCAGACUCCUACGGGAGGCAGCAGUGGGGAAUAUUGGACAAUGGGCGCAAGCCUGAUCCAGCCAUACCGCGUGGGUGAAGAAGGCCUUCGGGUUGUAAAGCCCUUUUGUUGGGAAAGAAAAGCAGCAGGUUAAUACCCCGCUGUUCUGACGGUACCCAAAGAAUAAGCACCGGCUAACUUCGUG